Long non-coding RNA from Labeo rohita (rohu), 911 nucleotides. RefSeq lists it as uncharacterized. NCBI's taxonomy places the organism in Eukaryota, Metazoa, Chordata, Actinopteri, Cypriniformes, Cyprinidae. The record is from RefSeq and is a predicted model, not a curated record. The transcript is spliced from 4 exons.
UCAGAAACAAGGAUCAGGGAGAGAGUGCCAGUGAAGUCCCAAGCUCCACACAAAACUAGUUCAACCUUACUUAAACUAGACCUAAACCAGAAAGUGAGAGGCCAUAUCCUGAAGACACAAAGAGGUAACCAGCAGAAAAUUGGAGAACCAGAGCCAUUAUCUGCAGAGAGGAUAAAAAGGCAGAGAAUAACUAGUGAAGUACCUGUAGAGGUACUGAAUGACUGCUUAGAUACUCAAACAGGUAUCAAAGUUCAGAGAUCGUAUUUGAGGAAGAACAGGCUCCCAAAGAGGCUUAAAAUGACAUCUGAGGGCAGACAUUCCCAAACACAGAGUGGUUAUCCAGUCAAUCUGCCUCUGUGAAUGAACUUGAACUGGAGUCCUUAACCAAGGCUGGGUGGAAGGCUUGUGAAGUUCACUUCUCUGGGAGAACUGUCUCCUCGAUGCUGAUCGUAGUGGGGAUUACCUGAGCUAUGAGCCUUGGCGGUCUUCAUGCCAUGCUAUAAGCCCCAGAGCAGGCUCCUAUUGGAGGAGAGAGCACUCCUUCCUACCCAGGGUGCUAAAUAACCAUGUUCUUGAGGGUCUGUCUCCUGCUCACCAAAGAAUGUCAAGGGGCUGAAUGUAAGGUUAAAUGUAAAUCAGCGACUAUGGGCCUUGUUGGUAGACGUUCCAUGCUGUUAGUGAUUUGCUGCCAGCUAAAUGCUGCAGACAAGCUAUUUUGUCUGAUAGUGAUGCAGGUCAUAAAUUUAAUGCAAGGUCCAGUUUUUUUCCCUCAUAUUCCCCUGCACGUGUACAUGUUUAUCCUUGUUUGGACUAUGUUCAAAAAAAGAUACCGAUCCUACGGUUUGUCUUAUAUGUAUGGCAGUGCAGUUUCGCUGCAAUUUUUUUAGUGUAAGUUAUGAAUAUAUACUUUU